This is a long non-coding RNA of Betta splendens (Siamese fighting fish), 3311 nucleotides long. RefSeq lists it as uncharacterized. Lineage: Eukaryota; Metazoa; Chordata; Actinopteri; Anabantiformes; Osphronemidae. The record is from RefSeq and is a predicted model, not a curated record. The transcript is spliced from 6 exons.
UCUGGUCGGUCACGUGGUCGUUUAUAGCUGAGGAAUAGUGGAGAAAGUCUUAAUGUUCACAAAGGUCUGUAUCGUCAAAACAAGCUGCUCGUCUGUGAUUUGUUAUCGAUUAUCCGGCUGCGCGCUUCUCACCCCUCGGCUGUGGAGUGAGGAUGAGACAUGUGGGGCUGAAGAAGGCUUAAGGACGUAUGUGAUGUUUGCGCUUCAUUUUUCCAAGAUAAUAUAGUCCGACUUCGACAGCGCGCAAUCUUUUAUGAGAGUUUUGGUGGUUAUUUUGUAGAAGACAUGUGUGUGAAUCAACCGAGAAACAACAAAAGAUGAUGCAUCACGGAACCUGAUCAUCUAAACUUUUAACAGCACAUUGAUAGACGGAGGCUUUGGUGAACAACAUUUUGAAUGACUGCUUCCCUGGACAAUACACGCACCUAACAGACGAGGGACGACGGUGUGGUGAUGUUUUUUCAUUUCGUCCCUGGAGUCAUUUUUGGUUUCUCCAACAAUAUCUGUGCUGUCCCACAAUGGCUCGCUUUGAAGACGAUCUGUCUGGCCGCUACAGAGGCAGCUGUCCUGCGGGCCCGAGAGGAGCCAACCGGCAGCCGGGUCCUCCGGGAACUCAGAGGAUGUACAAACAGACGAUGGUGCAAAGAGCCAGGACCAUGGCUAUUUACAACCCCAUCCCUGUCAAACAGAGCUGCCUCAGCGUUAACCGCUCUCUGUUCAUCUUCAGUGAGGAUAACAUGAUACGGAAAUAUGCCAAAAAGAUCACGGAAUGGCCAUAUCCUUACUAUUAGUUGCAGUGUGCUACUCUAAAUUAUGAUAAAAGGCUGGUUAAGGUUCCAUUCUACCCCUCUACAGUAAACAUUUUCUAAAAUAAAUAUUGACAUAGACACAACGUUAAGGCAUUUCGUUAUGACUGCUGACAAGUAAGUGACACCAUUUCUCACCAUGUUUUCUUAGAAAACAUUUUAUCAGUACGUAACCUGCGAUUUGUUGCAUAUUGGUGGUGAUGAGUUUACAUAGGCUUCACCAUGUUCAUGCAGUGUGUUCUGUUUGAUUAGGCCAGUGGUUGGUGGCCUUAGUCAUAGGCAUCUGUCCUAAUGCUGAAUUGAUUGAGGUUUACUUGAUGGAGUAUUGUCUCACUGACACUUUCUUGUCAAGGCUUUAGUCUGUGGAUGGUGCUGAUCUGCCUGGCAUUGGCUUUCUGCAUAGGUGUGAUGGUACACGUUUUGUAGAAUCAAAUGCUGCAGAACGCAGGUUCCACAUUAUCUGCAAAGUGUUUUUAUUAAGUAGUCAAUCGUGGGAGUAUGUACUCACUUUACAGCAUAUGUCAGGGCAUGGUAUGACAGAUCUAGGUUAUUCAUAUUAAGUUGUGUCAUAGCUUUUACUAAAACUGAUGCUGAUGAUGUCUGUUCAUCUGCUGAGCAAACAGUAGUGAUGCUGAGAUGUUGCAGAUCAAACUGCAGAGUAACCUGCAGCUCAGAGUGGCUGGAGUGGGUCUUCUCCCUUUUCCCAGCACUCUGUCCUGAGGGAAUAUUGGCAUAGCUGUGCUAAUGACACACUAGUGCUGCACUGCAGGGAGGAAGAUGCCCCAUAAUCAGUAUAAUGCUCUAUAUCAUAUCAGAAGCUCUCCUCUAAGGUCCCAAUCGACCUUAAGUUGGUGUCGAAGAGGGAUUGUUGUAAUUCUAUCUGUCAGAUGUUUGUUUAUUUAAAUACUUUUUCAACAGCUGUGUCUGAAUACAAAAUACAGAAUAUGUAAAUGAGCAGUAUGUGAACAUUGGAGGCAGUAAAUCUACACCUGAAAAGAGAUUUGUCUUGUGGAAACCGGAAGCCUGCGUUGUGAACUACGGCUGUGGGCUGAUGUCUAACAGAUUGAAGCACUGCUGCUCUGGAAUGUUUGAUCCAGUAUUUUAAUUUUGGCCGUUGGCUUUCACAUGUGUAUUUUAUGCCGAUCAUUGUUGUUGUGGCCCAGUCCUAUGUCAGUGGGCACUCACAUAACUGAUUUGACUUAAUUGUGUCAUUUGUCAUUGUUUCAGCAUCACCAAGCUUCAGGUGCAGCUAGUGUCUUAGGGUUGAAGAGUGAAUCCUUGUGUCCCCAUGUGGUUUGUAUCUGGUCCUUAACACUCUCACUCUAUUUGAGUAUAUGAUUCUAGCCACCAUCAUAGCAAACUGCAUCGUUUUGGCUCUGGAACAACAUCUGCCAGCUUUGGACAAGACACCAAUGUCAGAGCGUUUGGAUGACACAGAGCCCUACUUCAUCGGAAUAUUUUGCUUUGAGGCUGGCAUCAAAAUCAUUGCUUUGGGAUUUGCUUUUCACAAAGCGUCCUACCAGCGUAAUGGCUGGAAUGUAAUGGACUUUGUGGUUGUCCUAACAGGUGUUAAAGAGGACAAAGAAGUGUAAGAAUGACAUUAUCAAUGCACACGACGGUGACAAGCAUUUCACUGAGAUCGCAUCUGUUGGGUUGCCGUUUGCCCGCUCCUGUGUGAAGAGCAAGAAUGAGAGUUCAUCCUAUUUUAAAAGAAAAGAUGAAAAUGAAAAAUGUAUGGCCUUGGACCCCAGAGCUACUUCCACUCAUCCUUCAACUGUUUUGACUUUGGGGUUAUUAUUGGCAGCAUUUUUGAGGUGAUCUUGGCUGCCAUCAAACCUGGAGCUUCAUUUGGGAUCAGUGUACUACGAGCUUUGAGACUACUCAGGAUCUUCAAAGUUACAAAGUACUGGAACUCACCAAACCUGGUGGUGUCUUUGCUCAACUCCAUGAAGUCUAUCAUCAGUCUGCUGUUCCUCCUCUUCCUCUUCAUUGUGAUCUUUGCUCUACUAGGCAUGCAGCUGUUUGGUGGCCAGUAAGUAACCCCAUAAGCCCCAGGAUUUUUUUUCUGUAACACUCCUUUAGGCCCCAGCUCUCCCAUAUCUGGGAGAGAUGGUCCAGACUGGGUCCCCAAAACUGAGAACCUCAUGUGACCACCAUCUUUUCGCAGAGUUAGUUUUCACUAAUUGUCCUAUGAUUAUAUGGAGGUUAGAAGUUGCUGAGUCCUCUAUUUACAGAGAUAUUAAUCAUUUUAUAGCACAUUAUACUAAGUUUUUCCAGUCAUUGCAACAAGUGCCUCCUUCUCUCAAUGCUAAUGAAGAUUGUCAAUCAUCUAGGUGCAGUUGCAUGGAUGUCAGAUGUCAUGAGAAUAGUCUAAAUAAAUAUGAAUUACUAAAUAAAUAUAACAAAAAUAAGUAAAAGUCACUUUCCUCAUGCUUCUAAUGCUAAUACUGCUACACUGGGUUACGGGUAAACAUUACUACUUACGGCUUCUGUUUCAAAUGCUCA